UAAAGACUCCUACUAUUUUAUAAGAUGAAAAUAACCAAAUAACUAGUCAUCUUUAGCUUUCUAUCUACUUUCUUAUAAUUGAACACAAAGUUGGUGAAGCAUAUGUUUAUAGUUAAGAGUCGUAUCACACCAUAUAUAUACAUAAGGUUUGGGCAGAGACUUAAAGAUCGGGAUAGAGAGAGCAAUGAUCCUUAUGCCUUCUCAGGCGACUAAUCAUCACUUCAUCCUCCAUCGAAUCAUGAUCAAAGGUCGAAGAAGAUGUGAACAUAUAUCAACUGAUUAUAUGUUCGGAGAUGAUUGAUGAGAAUCAUAGAAAAUAAUCAACAAUAUAUGGAUUAAUCAUAUAGAAGAAUUGGUUCGAGUUUGAUCGAAUCGAUAUUUCUGUUCUUUGGUUUGCUUCAAAUAAAAAGAUGGAAGACGCUCAUGGUUUGAGGCAAGUCAAAGAUCACCAGUUCCCCCUUUCACAAUUUCAAUCUCUUUGUUAAUUAAAGACUAUUAUUACGUAUAUACUCUAUGUUUUAGUUUUAAACAAGACGCAGGUUUUUUCUUAUGUCGAUUACAUGAACUCAUGUUUUUUUUUUUUAUGAACUCAUGUUCAAUUCUAUAAAUGUUAAUUUGUUAUAAUGGCCAUUACUUGGCAUAAAAUCUCUAGCUAGUAUUCACUGGUACUCGAUUAAAAUUCCAUAUGUAUCAAACUAAAUAUUGUUCCAUUGAAGCGGAUUAGAUCACCUGAUAUAUGGCAUGCAUCCAUGUUCUAUUUUCUGUAUGUAACUUGGAUAUGUUCAAUCCGGAUUUUCUAAAUAUGUUCAUACAUCUAUCUUUUAUAUUUGUUCAUAUGUAUCUCUAUAAAAUUUUAGUAUUUA
Long non-coding RNA from Arabidopsis lyrata subsp. lyrata, 863 nucleotides. RefSeq lists it as uncharacterized. The record is from RefSeq and is a predicted model, not a curated record. The transcript has 2 exons. NCBI's taxonomy places the organism in Eukaryota, Viridiplantae, Streptophyta, Magnoliopsida, Brassicales, Brassicaceae.